AGCUUGAAAAAUAGCUUCUAAACGAUAAUGUCAAUGAGUUAAAAAAUUUUGCAGUAAUCAAAUGCUUCGCCGGGGAUGGGAAUUUGCAAAUUUGUGGCCCUUCUUGGGUCAAAUCUCUUAUUUUUUCACUUGUUACUAUUGGUCAACCUGGUUUCGCUAAAUAGUUGAGAUUGUUGGCUUGUUUCCUUACUCCUGUGGUGGAUUUAUGGCAGACGAUGUCCCUAAAAUGAGUAGGACCUGCUGGUAUUAGGGUGAAGGAAGAUUGGUUGGUGGAGAUGAAUUUUUUGGAGGAGACUGUGAAAAUAUUUUGGAG
RNAcentral lists this long non-coding RNA (313 nucleotides) under Nicotiana benthamiana. Its description in RNAcentral is "long non-coding RNA (NBEN_LNC005722)". The record is from RNAcentral. Lineage: Eukaryota; Viridiplantae; Streptophyta; Magnoliopsida; Solanales; Solanaceae.